GAGUUGUUUGGGAAUGCUGCUCAAAAUGGGAGGUAAACCCCUUCUAAAGCUAAAUACCGGCCAGAGACCGAUAGCGCACAAGUAGAGUGAUCGAAAGAUGAAAAGCACUUUGAAAAGAGAGUUAAAAAGCACGUGAAAUUGUUGAAAGGGAAGCGCUUGCGACCAGACUCGCGCCCGUCGGAUCAGCCGUCGCUCGUCGGCGGUGCACUCCGGCGGGCUCGGGCCAGCAUCAGUUCGCCUGGGGGGAGAAAGGCGGCGGGAAUGUGGCUCUACGGAGUGUUAUAGCCCGCCGUGCAAUACCCCCGGGCGGACUGAGGACCGCGCGUAUGCAAGGAUGCUGGCGUAAUGGUCGUCAGUGACCCGUCUUGAAACACG
This 375-nucleotide ribosomal RNA is filed under the name Microascus senegalensis. Its description in RNAcentral is "LSU rRNA". It matches the Rfam family "Eukaryotic large subunit ribosomal RNA", at positions 267 to 663 of the family's 3401-position model. Lineage: Eukaryota; Fungi; Ascomycota; Sordariomycetes; Microascales; Microascaceae. The record is from RNAcentral.